RNAcentral lists this long non-coding RNA (214 nucleotides) under Elaeis guineensis (African oil palm). Its description in RNAcentral is "long non-coding RNA (EGUI_LNC071072)". Lineage: Eukaryota; Viridiplantae; Streptophyta; Magnoliopsida; Arecales; Arecaceae. The record is from RNAcentral.
UCCUGUGACUCCUCACUAGGACUACCCUGACCAAGAUUUUGCUAAAUUAAAAUAUGACUGUACAUAGCUCCUAAACUGGAGUGGUCAAUCCCAUCUUGACACAUGCACUGACAAGUCAAGUACUUGACUACACCCAGCAGCCUUCCAUCACUGAAUUAGAAAUUCAGGUAGUCCAGUGCCUAAGUGCAGUGAGUUGCUUACAAGUCACCGUGAC